CCUACGGGUGGCAGCAGUGGGGAAUAUUGGGCAAUGGGCGCAAGCCUGACCCAGCAACGCCGCGUGAAGGAAGAAGGCUCUCGGGUUGUAAACUUCUUUUAUCAGGGACGAAGCAAGUGACGGUACCUGAUGAUUAAGCCACGGCUAACUACGUGCCAGCAGCCGCGGUAAUACGUAGGUGGCAAGCGUUAUCCGGAUUUACUGGGUGUAAAGGGCGUGUAGGCGGGAAAGCAAGUCAGAUGUGAAAACCAUGGGCUCAACCUGUGGCCUGCAUUUGAAACUGUUUUUCUUGAGUACAGGAGAGGCAGACGGAAUUCGUAGUGUAGCGGUGAAAUGCGUAGAUAUUAGGAGGAACACCAGUGGCGAAGGCGGUCUGCUGGACAGCAACUGACGCUGAGGCGCGAAAGCGUGGGGAGCAAACAGGAUUAGAUACCCUGGUAGUC
RNAcentral lists this ribosomal RNA (443 nucleotides) under uncultured bacterium. RNAcentral's name for it is "partial 16S ribosomal RNA". It matches the Rfam family "Bacterial small subunit ribosomal RNA", at positions 338 to 795 of the family's 1533-position model. The record is from RNAcentral.